GCAGCGGUGGUUCAGUGGUAGAAUUGUCUCCUGCCACGCGAUAGGCCCGGGUUCAAUUCACGGCCGAUGCA
Molecule: non-coding RNA, 71 nt
Organism: Symsagittifera roscoffensis
Lineage: Eukaryota; Metazoa; Xenacoelomorpha; Acoela; Convolutidae
Source: the annotation of a RefSeq genome assembly